AGUACCUACGGGAGGCAGCAGUGAGGAAUAUUGGUCAAUGGGCGGGAGCCUGAACCAGCCAAGUCGCGUGAGGGAUGACGGCCCUAUGGGUUGUAAACCUCUUUUGCCGGGGAGCAAAGUGCCGCACGUGUGCGGUUUGGAGAGUACCCGGAGAAAAAGCAUCGGCUAACUCCGUGCCAGCAGCCGCGGUAAUACGGAGGAUGCGAGCGUUAUCCGGAUUUAUUGGGUUUAAAGGGUGCGUAGGCGGAAUAUCAAGUCAGCGGUAAAAAUUCGGGGCUCAACCCCGUCGUGCCGUUGAAACUGAU
This 305-nucleotide ribosomal RNA is filed under the name uncultured bacterium. Its description in RNAcentral is "bacterial SSU rRNA". It matches the Rfam family "Bacterial small subunit ribosomal RNA", at positions 334 to 637 of the family's 1533-position model. The record is from RNAcentral.